This 467-nucleotide ribosomal RNA is filed under the name uncultured bacterium. RNAcentral's name for it is "partial 16S ribosomal RNA". It matches the Rfam family "Bacterial small subunit ribosomal RNA", at positions 28 to 506 of the family's 1533-position model. The record is from RNAcentral.
GACGAACGCUGGCGGCGUGCUUAACACAUGCGAGUCGAACGGAAAGGCCCUGCUUUUGUGGGGUGCUCGAGUGGCGAACGGGUGAGUAACACGUGAGUAACCUGCCCUUGACUUUGGGAUAACUUCAGGAAACUGGGGCUAAUACCGGAUAGGAGCUCCUGCUGCAUGGUGGGGGUUGGAAAGUUUCGGCGGUUGGGGAUGGACUCGCGGCUUAUCAGCUUGUUGGUGGGGUAGUGGCUUACCAAGGCUUUGACGGGUAGCCGGCCUGAGAGGGUGACCGGCCACAUUGGGACUGAGAUACGGCCCAGACUCCUACGGGAGGCAGCAGUGGGGAAUAUUGCACAAUGGGCGGAAGCCUGAUGCAGCAACGCCGCGUGCGGGAUGACGGCCUUCGGGUUGUAAACCGCUUUCGCCUGUGACGAAGCGUGAGUGACGGUAAUGGGGAAAGAAGCACCGGCUAACUACGG